UACGGAGGAUCCAAGCGUCAUCCGGAUUUAUUGGGUUUAAAGGGUGCGUAGGCGGCUUAUUAAGUCAGGGGUGAAAGACGGUGGCUCAACCAUCGCAGUGCCCUUGAUACUGAUGAGCUUGAAUACACUAGAGGUAGGCGGAAUGUGACAAGUAGCGGUGAAAUGCAUAGAUAUGUUACAGAACACCGAUUGCGAAGGCAGCUUACUAUGGUGUGAUUGACGCUGAGGCACGAAAGCGUGGGGAUCAAACAGG
Molecule: ribosomal RNA, 253 nt
Filed under: uncultured bacterium
Lineage: Bacteria
Description: partial 16S ribosomal RNA
Rfam family: Bacterial small subunit ribosomal RNA
Source: RNAcentral